RNAcentral lists this long non-coding RNA (4302 nucleotides) under Taeniopygia guttata (zebra finch). RNAcentral describes it as "lncRNA (ENSTGUG00000024107.1)". Lineage: Eukaryota; Metazoa; Chordata; Aves; Passeriformes; Estrildidae. The record is from RNAcentral.
CUCCCGCUCCUCCUCCUCCGCUCCCGCCCCGGACCCCCUUUCGCUGCCCCUCUGCCCCACGGCCGCAGCAGCAGCGGCUCUCGGGCAGGGCGAGAAACCCCCCGGAGCCCCCGGCCAUGGGCUCAUGAUUCAAGGUUUGCUUUUUAGGUAGUACACACGUUUGGAAAAUUUUGGGAAGGAAGGGAUUUACUCAAAUCAAAAGGAAAGGGACUGCUACAUAGACUCCUUGAAGCUGCCUGAAGAGAUAGCUGUAGUACAUGUUAAAGGUUAUCAAGGUGGAAUGGUUUUACACAUAGUGGGAAUAAUUUGGCAGAUCAAAAGGUUAGCGAUGUAAAAUGGGAGCAAAAGAGUUAUGUUAAUUCUGACCCUCGAUAAGAAAGUAUUGGAAAUGCCAAAGUUUAGUGAAGUAGACUAAAAGGAAUUACAUAAAAUAGGUGGAAAGCAAGAGCAAUGUGGGAAAUGGAAACUUCCUGAUGGGAGGCAGUUUCUGAAUAGGUCACUUAAGAGGAAAAUAUUUGAAGACAUGCAUCAAAAAACUCAUCGGGCUUUGUGUGAUCAUUGUUAUGAAUGGGGUCCCAUAUGUCCAAUUUCAUAGAAUCAAAUACAAUGAAGUGGUUACAAAGAGUUAUUUGGCAAUGGUUCUGGUAAAGCAUAUGCGAAACCGAUCAGGGUAUGGGGAGGGCUUCUCACCCUGCCACCCGUACAAAAGAAUCCAAGCACAACUUUUAUACUGUAUGGUAAUACAUAUUCAUCAUUAGUUCCUCCUAUUUUCAAUUCUUGAAAUCUGUGUCACUCUACUGCAUGGCAUGUUCCCACUGUUGCUAUGGGGUCUUCUGGUCUCUUCGGGGGUCUUCUUGGAGGAAAGCUCGCUGUCCUCCUCGCUGUCCUCUGAGUGACCUGGCAGGUUGUGCAUGCACAUUUAACUUGUUGCAUUAUGUUCCAAUUAAGCCUUAUUAUUUCAUAGAUAAGACCACUAUUUUCAGGUCCCUAUCUGGAAUGGUCCCAAUUUUAUUCAUAUUCAAGGUCAAUCCAGCUCUGGGAGUUGUCUUUUAGCUUCAGUUGAUGCCAAGUUUGGUUUGGGGGUCAGUUCCUGACUUCCUCCAUUCCUAAGGCUGAAUCCAGCUCCUGCAUCCUGCUGCCCAAAUGUAUUCUUGAAGAAACCCAUCUGCUUUGUAACACUAAUCCCAUAUACUUUUCCGAUUAUUUUCCCAAAUUAUUGAUAUAAUUACAACUUCAGCACAAAUCACAUGCAUUUAUCACACCACUUUUUAAGGAAUUAUGUGUGAAUUGGAAUUUUUGGAUUGGCAAAGCUAAUAACUGAGAAAUCUAUAACUUGCCAAAAAGUAAAUAAAAAGUAAUGAGAAGAACAGCAUUAGGAGGCCACGAGUUAGCUCUGUGACUGUUUCAAAGUAUCAACUGGACUUUACUGACCUUCCCCAAGCGCAGAAUUGUAAGUUUUUAUUGGUAGUAAUAGACCGUUUGACUCAUUGGGUAAAAGCUGUUCCCAGUGUCAGAGCUACAGCUAAUGUGGUAUGUAAAUCUUGGAACAAAUUAUUCCCAGGUAUGGAAUGCUUAAUAGAAUAGGCUCAGAUAGAGAAACCCAUUUCAUGUCAAAAGUCUUACAGCAAAUAACUCCAGCCUUGGGAAUAAAAUGGGAAUUACACACCCCAGGGCAUCCACAGAGUUUGGGCUGGGUAGAAAGGAUGAACCAGGCAUUAAAGAGAAAUUCAACCAAAUUAAUGAUUGAAACCUAAAUGUCAUGGGUGAAAUGUUCACCUUUGGCUCUAUUGAGGGUCCAACACAACCCAGGUCAGGCCUAGGAGUGUCACCCUGUGAGAUGAUGUUUGGGUUACUCUUUCUGACUACCCAACAUGAAGCAGGGGAAAUGAGUGUUUGAAAAUGUGUCACAAGAAUUGCAAAAAUGCUUAAAAAUUUGCGGUUGGAAGGGAUAAUCCCUCAAACCACACCUUUAGAAUUUAAAAUCCAUAAUACGCAUCCACGGGAAUGGGUACUAGUGAAAACAUGGAAAGAACAAUCUUUAACUCCACAGUGGGAAGGUUCCUUUCAGGUACUACUGACAAGUGAGGCAGUGAUCUGGACCAGGGAACAAGGAUGGAUUAAUGCCAGCAGAAUCAAAGGACCUGUGAAGGAACCUGAGGAAUGACUAUAACAUCUAAACUGAGUGAUACCAAAUUGACUCUCCAGUGGGAACCGGGUGGUAAUGAACUGAGAGGACCCAAAUGAUCCAAGGAAUGUACAAAGAAUCACACCUGACUGGGAAAUAAGGCUAAGCUUAUCUCAGUGGUUUCAAGUGACACCUGGACAAGUUCUGAGACACCUCCAUGGGGAGGAAUACUUCCACUUCUAACAGGAGGAUCAUGACUGUUUAGGUCAGAGAGUUCUCAUAUUCUGGCCUUAGCCUGUAACUUAGACAAAGAAGAGAAGGAAUUAGAACUUCCAUCAGUGCCAUACCAUAUACCCUGUUUGAUUCAUCCCAAUACUGGACAUGCUAGCUGGGUUAAAUGUAAAUGUUUAAAUUGUGGGGAAAAUUGGUAUUGUAGUUCACAAAAUUGACACUCUCGUUGCAGGAAAUGUCGAGCACCAAAAUUUAUCCUGUAUCCAGAUUGAACUGAAACAACUGAAAUAAUAACUUUGCUGUGUGGAUGGGAAUUAUUAGUGCCUGUUGAAUUGGAGAUACCUGAGAAACCACAGCUAAGGAGUGUCAAAACCAAUUUGCCUGGAAAUUAGUAAAAGGGAAGUGACAAGGGAAACAGAGAGCAAGCCUGGAUUGAGCACUGUACUCACCACUGGGAAGAUUGCACAUACCUGCUGUGGGUUGCAACCCCAUAGGAAUAUCCCCAUAGGUGGGGAUAUAAACCAUACCAAACUUCUGUUAUUCCUGUUUCUGUCAUUCAUUUGUUGUCUUUUCCCUUUCAGGAUACUGGCAAGAUUGUGUCACAAAUGCUACAGAAAGUAUUACAUGAAAAGAAACCAAAGUUCCUUUUUUGUUACACACACCCAUGUCAACAGCCACUGUAACAACACAUCCAAAUUAAGUACCUGCAGGCAAAAUGGGGAAAAAUAUUGGAUUACAAGGAACUUAGGAAAAAGUGGUAAUAAAUGGGGCAUUGAAUGUCCAAAAAGGUAGAGAUGGAUUUGUUUUACAUUUGACCUUAGGGGUGUACUUCAAGAUUCAGUAAAAGAACAGUUAGUAAAGAAAAAGGUAAAGCACAGCAAUGUAACUUUGUAUUGGCCCCAAAUUAUAUGCUGAAUUGUAUUAUAUGACUCCAAGCAGUUAUAGAGAUGAUAACAAACAAAGCUGCUCAGUCAUUGGAAUUAAUAUCAAGUCAGCAAAACCAAACAAAAACUGUGUUGUAUCAGAAUAGGUUGGCUUUAGAAUAUUUAUUGGCUAAAGAAGGGGGUGUUUGUGGAAAGUUUAAUUUAUCAGAUUGUUGAAAAUAGAUUACAAUGGGGAUUUCAUCCUGGAAAUAGCAAAAGAUAUCAGAAAAAUAACCCAGGUACUGGUCCAAAAUUGGGAACCAAUGUUAAAAACUAACUGGUGGGGUAAUGUAUUUGGGGAUGGUGGAAGAAAUUAGGUUUCUUCCUUUUAUGUGCUACAUCUGGUUUGAUAGUUCUUCCUUGUUUAAUCCUGUUUAAUUUGGCUAAUUACCAGCAUAGUCCAAAACAUACAUGUGGACAAGAAAUAUUGCUCAAGCCAAAUGAUUUAUAAAGAAUAAGAGGGCAGUUUGUUAUAGAUAUGUAUUAUAAUAUUGUAUUUUUGGCAAUAUUAAAAUAGAUUCUAUAUGUGUGGUUUUAAAGUAACUUUGCUAUAAAGGUACAGUUUUUAUUUCUGUUGUUAACUAAAACUUAUAUAAAACUGAUAUAAUAUGCUUGUGUUACAAUGCCUGCUUGGCUGGGAUAACAUCCAAGGAAUAUAUGAUGAAGACACCUGCUACAGAUAUGCAAACAAUCAACACUUGCCAUCAAUAGAAAGUGUGGACCAAGGCCCAAACUUGAAGGUUAUAUUAAAAAUGGACUAAAAGCACAACCAAGGAAUCCACAUUAUCCACAUGCUCUAAAAACACAGACCCGAAGAGGAGCUAUGCUAAACAGUUCUUGGAAUAUGCAAACUUGAUUUGGGAAAAGUUUACUAUACGUAAUUGUUUAUGAAUAUGGAACAGGUUGAUGCAGUAGAAAUGGUAUCUAAAGGAUGUUUCCAAAAUAGCAGGGGUGCUCUUGGCUGAGUGCCAAGAUAAUCUUUGUUUUGUCUUUGUCUCCUGUUGUCCUAUAUUAAACUUUUAA